RNAcentral lists this small nuclear RNA (283 nucleotides) under Rattus norvegicus (Norway rat). RNAcentral's name for it is "7SK RNA". It matches the Rfam family "7SK RNA". Rfam says of the family: 7SK was discovered as an abundant small nuclear RNA in the mid-70s but a possible function has only recently been suggested. The record is from Rfam by way of RNAcentral. Lineage: Eukaryota; Metazoa; Chordata; Mammalia; Rodentia; Muridae.
GCAUGAGAAGGUGACCUGGCUGUGACAUCUGUCACCCCAUGAUCUACCCUGUAGAUAGGCUGAUAUGGCUGACUAGGUGUCAUAUGCAUAUACAUCCCUCAGAAAUUUGAACAGAAGGAUGUCUUUCCUGGACAGAGGAGUACGGUCCUGCGGUUAAGGGUAAAUGGCUAGCCUUCUCCCCUGCUAGAGUCUGCAAUUAAGUUUUCAGGGGAAAACAUCUACAAUAGGAGAAACUCGUAGGAUAUUCGCUUCAAGGUCCACACUUGGAGGUUUACUAAACAGC